This is a long non-coding RNA of Engraulis encrasicolus (European anchovy), 220 nucleotides long. RefSeq lists it as uncharacterized. The transcript is spliced from 3 exons. The record is from RefSeq and is a predicted model, not a curated record. NCBI's taxonomy places the organism in Eukaryota, Metazoa, Chordata, Actinopteri, Clupeiformes, Engraulidae.
GUCCCUGUGAUAGUUGCUGCACUUAUUGGCUGCUGCCUGUUGGCUACAGUAGUGAUCGUGGUCAUCUGCAGAAGAAGAACAAGAAGAAUAAAUUCCGAACAGAAAGCACAGAACAUCUAUGAUCACAUUGGGAUGGCAUGCACAGCCAGCCCGUCACAGGAAUCUCCAGCUAAUGUAAGUUAUAAAAGUACACAGCACAUAAUGCAUUAACUUGAUAGCC